Molecule: long non-coding RNA, 454 nt
Organism: Drosophila suzukii
Lineage: Eukaryota; Metazoa; Arthropoda; Insecta; Diptera; Drosophilidae
Source: RefSeq, a predicted model, not a curated record
UUGCAAGUUUUCUAUUUUGACGUUUUGUUUAGGUAGGCAAGGGGGAAACGCUACUGGGGGGGAGUUCGAUUUACAUAUUACUGAAAUCGGUAUAAAAGGCAACAAAAGCCAAAGACACAGCCUAAGCCGGACAAACGUCAUUCAACAUCAUCGUCGUCUUCAUUUGAAUCAAUUAAACCAGUUUGGCUCUACGACUGUGGGUAUAUGUGCAUACAGAUAUGUAACCCAUGCAAAGUGCAAGUGGGUGGCGCCCGUUUAGAGAACUUUGGCGACAACAACCAGAAACAACUGGAUCAACAACACAGCAACUAACAACACAAUGGGAAUACUGAGGCAAUAUGCAGUAAUAAGCAAUAAAUGGAAAUAAAGGUCAAGUUUAAGUGACGGCGAUGACGAGAGAGGCAAAAAAAAAACAGAACUACAGAUGUAAUGGUAAAUAAACGAAUAAAAACUA